Molecule: ribosomal RNA, 845 nt
Filed under: uncultured Planctomycetota bacterium
Lineage: Bacteria; Pseudomonadati; Planctomycetota
Description: bacterial SSU rRNA
Rfam family: Bacterial small subunit ribosomal RNA
Source: RNAcentral
GGAUUAGGCAUGCAAGUCGAGCGAGAAGCUUUAGUUUGACGCUUCGGUUGAUUUCUAAAGUGGACAGCGGCGCAAGGGAGAGUAACGCGUAGUUAUCUACCCCGAGGUCCGGAAUAGCCCCGAGAAAUCGGGGGUAAUGCCGGAUAAUAUCCCCGGAUCAAAGGUGUGAUUCCGCCUUGGGAGGAGACUGCGUUGUACUAGCUUGUUGGUGGGGUAAAGGCCUACCAAGGCUUUGAUGCAUAGCGGGCGUGAGAGCGUGGCCCGUCUCACUGGGACUGAAACACUGCCCAGACACCUACGGGUGGCUGCAGUCGAGAAUCUUCGGCAAUGGGCGAAAGCCUGACCGAGCGAUGCCGCGUGCGGGAUGAAGGCCUUCGGGUUGUAAACCGCUGUCAGUUGGGAGGAAGGGUCGAUGAAGAAUCGGCUUUGACCUAUCUUCAGAGGAAGUCCGGGCUAAGUUCGUGCCAGCAGCCGCGGUAACACGAACCGGACAAACGUUAUUCGGAAUUAUUGGGCUUAAAGGGUGCGUAGGCGGCUUGGUAGGUGGGGUGUGAAAGCCCUCGGCUCAACCGAGGAAUUGCGCCCCAAACCACCAAGCUAGAGGGAGACAGAGGUAAGCGGAACUGAUGGUGGAGCGGUGAAAUGCGUUGAUAUCAUCAGGAACACCAGUGGCGAAAGCGGCUUACUGGGUCUCUUCUGACGCUGAGGCACGAAAGCUAGGGUAGCGAACGGGAUUAGAUACCCCGAUAGUCCUAGCUGUAAACGAUGAGCACUUGGUUGAGGGCCCCCCCAUAGGUUCUCGACCGUAGCGAAAGUGUUAAGUGCUCCGCCUGGGGAGUAUGGUC